AGUGUGAUUGCUGGAUCAUAUGAUAAGAGUAUAUUUAGUUUUAUAAGAAACUGCCAAACUGUCUUCCAAAAGUAACUAUACCAUUUUGCAUUUCUACUAGCAAU
This 104-nucleotide microRNA precursor is filed under the name Marmota monax (woodchuck). It matches the Rfam family "mir-562 microRNA precursor family". Lineage: Eukaryota; Metazoa; Chordata; Mammalia; Rodentia; Sciuridae. The record is from RNAcentral.